Molecule: long non-coding RNA, 595 nt
Filed under: Coffea arabica (coffee)
Lineage: Eukaryota; Viridiplantae; Streptophyta; Magnoliopsida; Gentianales; Rubiaceae
Description: long non-coding RNA (CARA_LNC004227)
Source: RNAcentral
AAGUGUAGGACUUAGCAGAGAUUGGGGCGGUGAGUAGCUCUUAGUAAGACAGCUGUCAGGAAGGAUUAUACUACCAAGUCUGCUAAGUAAGCAGUGGCCGAAAGUGAGCAGCUUAAAGAAACAAAACUGGUGGUGGCUAAGAGCAAAACAAAAGCUGUCUUCCUUUCUUGCUUUCUUUCUAAAACAGAAUCGAGUGAGUGAGACGGAGUGCGAGGAAAAGAAUUUGCGAGCUUCACCAUCAGCUAACCAAGAAAAUUAUACAAACGAAGGCAAGGGAACUGGGAAGUCGAGGGAUAGGACCUGAGGAGUUGGAAUAGCAAUUCUAGCAGUAUGCGACAAGAAACCUUAGGGAUGUAACUCGCUGAUUAGAUAGUAUAAUUAGCUAAACUUGAGCUGCAGGUAGAGCUAGCUAAGAACUUAGUUUCUGGUGCGAGAAAUGUUAUGCAGAAACUGUGAAAAUUGCAGAAACUGGAACUUAUAACUGUUCUUAAUAUUUCUUAGGAUGAUAAUGUUAAGAAUCUGCAAUAACUUCAUGCUGACUCGGUAAAAAUGAAUGAAUGAAUACGCUGCAUAUAGUGUUUGAGUAGAGAACUGA